GAGGGGAUAGCUCAGUGGUAGAGCAUGUGCUCAGCAUGCACGAGGUCCUGGGUUCAAUCCCCAGUCCCUCCA
Molecule: transfer RNA, 72 nt
Filed under: Camelus bactrianus (Bactrian camel)
Lineage: Eukaryota; Metazoa; Chordata; Mammalia; Artiodactyla; Camelidae
Also listed under: 1 other name
Rfam family: tRNA
About the family: Transfer RNA (tRNA) molecules are approximately 80 nucleotides in length. Their secondary structure includes four short double-helical elements and three loops (D, anti-codon, and T loops).
Source: Rfam by way of RNAcentral